Molecule: ribosomal RNA, 253 nt
Filed under: uncultured bacterium
Lineage: Bacteria
Description: partial 16S ribosomal RNA
Rfam family: Bacterial small subunit ribosomal RNA
Source: RNAcentral
GACAGAGGAUGCAAACGUUGCUCGGAAUUACUGGGCGUAAAGCGCGCGCAGGCGGUUCGGUAAGUCAGGUGUGAAAUCCCGGGGCUCAACCUCGGAAGGGCACAUGAUACUGCCAAACUUGAGUACUGGAGAGGAGAGUGGAAUUCCCGGUGUAGAGGUGAAAUUCGUAGAUAUCGGGAGGAACACCAGUGGCGAAGGCGACUCUCUGGACAGAUACUGACGCUGAGGCGCGAAAGCGUGGGAAGCAAACAGG